AGCUAUAAUUAAUUAACGAGAGAAAAAUGCGUGAUCUAGUGUUGUUUGGUUGUAAAGUUAUAUUGCAAGAGUUAGAGAUAAAGGAAAUGCAGAGAAGUGAUGAUGCUACUUAUAGCAAGAUGGAAAAGGAGAAGAAGAAUAAGAGGAAGAAGCAAAUUAGUGAUCAACAUGAUGUGGGAUCAAAGUCUGGUGAAGUAAUUAAUCUCAAGCCAAAGAAGAAAAGGUAUAGAUAAAGAGAAGAGAUGAAUGUAAGAAUAAGCAUUGAAACGAAAAGAAAGAAAAAGAGAUAUGAUUCUCACUCAAUAAUCUUGACGAGAAGGAAGUUGAUGGACAUGACUGGUGCGUAAUUAACAUAAUAGUAAGUAUUGUUCUUAGAGUUUUUUGUAUUGGAAUUGGAAUUGGGCAUAAAUGAGGAAAAUUGGGAGUAUUUAUAUUACAAAGCAAGUGUAACUGUACCCUAGAAUUGGACUUUGUGAAGCAGGGAUAGUAGUUGAUAGAAGAUUGUGGUUCUGGGAUUCCAUGGCCUUAAUGUUGAAUA
Molecule: long non-coding RNA, 538 nt
Filed under: Nicotiana benthamiana
Lineage: Eukaryota; Viridiplantae; Streptophyta; Magnoliopsida; Solanales; Solanaceae
Description: long non-coding RNA (NBEN_LNC025561)
Source: RNAcentral